ACACUCCUGCGGGAGGCAGCAGUGGGGAAUUUUGGACAAUGGGCGAAAGCCUGAUCCAGCAAUGCCGCGUGAGUGAAGAAGGCCUUCGGGUUGUAAAGCUCUUUUGUCAGGGAAGAAACGGUGAAAGCUAAUAUCUUUUGCUAAUGACGGUACCUGAAGAAUAAGCACCGGCUAACUACGUGCCAGCAGCCGCGGUAAUACGUAGGGUGCAAGCGUUAAUCGGAAUUACUGGGCGUAAAGCGUGCGCAGGCGGUUUUGUAAGUCUGAUGUGAAAUCCCCGGGCUCAACCUGGGAAUUACAUUGGAGACUGCAAGGCUAGAAUCUGGCAGAGGGGGGUAGAAUUCCACGUGUAGCAGUGAAAUGCGUAGAUAUGUGGAGGAACACCGAUGGCGAAGGCAGCCCCCUGGGUCAAGAUUGACGCUCAUGCACGAAAGCGUGGGGAGCAAACAGGAUUAGAUACCCUUGUAGUCCCA
This 473-nucleotide ribosomal RNA is filed under the name uncultured organism. Its description in RNAcentral is "partial 16S ribosomal RNA". It matches the Rfam family "Bacterial small subunit ribosomal RNA", at positions 333 to 797 of the family's 1533-position model. The record is from RNAcentral.